GCUAAAGUAGCAAAGCGGUUAAAUGCAAAAGACUUAGGAUCUUCUAACGUAGGUUCAAAUCCUUCCUUUAGCUCAU
RNAcentral lists this transfer RNA (76 nucleotides) under Mespilia globulus. Its description in RNAcentral is "tRNA-Leu". It matches the Rfam family "tRNA". Rfam says of the family: Transfer RNA (tRNA) molecules are approximately 80 nucleotides in length. The record is from RNAcentral. Lineage: Eukaryota; Metazoa; Echinodermata; Echinoidea; Temnopleuroida; Temnopleuridae.